GGGGGCAGUCGAUCUCUAUCCUUUGUCUCACAUAAAGCCAAUUGGUCCAGUUGCCUGCUGGCCCUUAUUACCCUCUAUCAAGGCAACUAACAUAGCAGGAGCAAUAAGAUCAUUAGGUUUGAGUUUUCCAUUCUCUGCUGAUAUUCAGGAAUGGAGUCCAAAACCUUCAAAGAUAGUGCAACAACUGGAAAAGAUUGGUGGUUUGUCAUUACCUCAUGGAGUUGUCUCUGGAGCAAAAGAUAAAUCUUCUUUUGUUUCACUCUGUUUGUUAGCCGCAUUGCUUCAACCCUUCUUCCUUCCUUGCCUUUGCAAACAUAUAUGCUGCAACAGGAAGAAAGAAGGUCAGACAAUCUAUGUUACUGGGACCUAAAUGUAAGUGUCACAUACACAUGUAUGUUCUAUUUUUUUAAAGCUUUUGAUAGUACUUGGAAUGUAUUGUGAGUUAAAAAUAAACAUUUCAAUAAAAAUGAAGGAUUAGAAUAACAUAA
Gossypium arboreum is the source of this 488-nucleotide long non-coding RNA. RefSeq lists it as uncharacterized. The record is from RefSeq and is a predicted model, not a curated record. The transcript has 2 exons. NCBI's taxonomy places the organism in Eukaryota, Viridiplantae, Streptophyta, Magnoliopsida, Malvales, Malvaceae.